Molecule: ribosomal RNA, 495 nt
Filed under: uncultured bacterium
Lineage: Bacteria
Description: partial 16S ribosomal RNA
Rfam family: Bacterial small subunit ribosomal RNA
Source: RNAcentral
CGAACGCUGGCGGCGUGCCUAAUACAUGCAAGUAGAACGCUGAAGAGAGGAGCUUACUCUUCUUGGAUGAGUUGCGAACGGGUGAGUAACGCGUAGGUAACCUGCCUUGUAGCGGGGGAUAACUAUUGGAAACGAUAGCUAAUACCGCAUAACAAUGGAUGACACAUGUCAUUUAUUUGAAAGGGGCAAUUGCUCCACUACAAGAUGGACCUGCGUUGUAUUAGCUAGUAGGUGAGGUAAUGGCUCACCUAGGCGACGAUACAUAGCCGACCUGAGAGGGUGAUCGGCCACACUGGGACUGAGACACGGCCCAGACUCCUACGGGAGGCAGCAGUAGGGAAUCUUCGGCAAUGGGGGCAACCCUGACCGAGCAACGCCGCGUGAGUGAAGAAGGUUUUCGGAUCGUAAAGCUCUGUUGUAAGUCAAGAACGGGUGUGAGAGUGGAAAGUUCACACUGUGACGGUAGCUUACCAGAAAGGGACGGCUAACUACGUG